RNAcentral lists this unclassified non-coding RNA (314 nucleotides) under Bradyrhizobium elkanii. RNAcentral describes it as "partial ribonuclease P RNA". It matches the Rfam family "Bacterial RNase P class A", at positions 61 to 330 of the family's 367-position model. Rfam says of the family: Ribonuclease P (RNase P) is a ubiquitous endoribonuclease, found in archaea, bacteria and eukarya as well as chloroplasts and mitochondria. Its best characterised activity is the generation of mature 5'-ends of tRNAs by cleaving the 5'-leader elements of precursor-tRNAs. Cellular RNase Ps are ribonucleoproteins. Lineage: Bacteria; Pseudomonadati; Pseudomonadota; Alphaproteobacteria; Hyphomicrobiales; Nitrobacteraceae. The record is from RNAcentral.
UCGACAUGCGGUGCCGGAUAACAUCCGGCGGGGGCGACCCCAGGGAAAGUGCCACAGAGAACGAACCGCUCCCUCCUCGGAGGAAGUAAGGGUGAAAAGGUGCGGUAAGAGCGCACCGCGUUUCCGGCAACGGAGACGGCAUGGCAAACCACACCGGGAGCAAAACCGAAUAGGGACGGCAACGCGGUUAGUUCGCGCUUGCGCGAUAACACCGCAGGGCGAUGUCAGGCCCGCUGUCCGGGUAGGUUGCCCGAGGCAAGGUGCGAACCUUGUCCCAGAGGAAUGGCCGUCGCGCAUCAUUCGCAAGAAUGGUG